Molecule: ribosomal RNA, 750 nt
Filed under: Bacillus subtilis
Lineage: Bacteria; Bacillati; Bacillota; Bacilli; Caryophanales; Bacillaceae
Description: bacterial SSU rRNA
Rfam family: Bacterial small subunit ribosomal RNA
Source: RNAcentral
UGGCUCAGGACGAACGCUGGCGGCGUGCCUAAUACAUGCAAGUCGAGCGGACAGAUGGGAGCUUGCUCCCUGAUGUUAGCGGCGGACGGGUGAGUAACACGUGGGUAACCUGCCUGUAAGACUGGGAUAACUCCGGGAAACCGGGGCUAAUACCGGAUGGUUGUUUGAACCGCAUGGUUCAAACAUAAAAGGUGGCUUCGGCUACCACUUACAGAUGGACCCGCGGCGCAUUAGCUAGUUGGUGAGGUAACGGCUCACCAAGGCAACGAUGCGUAGCCGACCUGAGAGGGUGAUCGGCCACACUGGGACUGAGACACGGCCCAGACUCCUACGGGAGGCAGCAGUAGGGAAUCUUCCGCAAUGGACGAAAGUCUGACGGAGCAACGCCGCGUGAGUGAUGAAGGUUUUCGGAUCGUAAAGCUCUGUUGUUAGGGAAGAACAAGUACCGUUCGAAUAGGGCGGUACCUUGACGGUACCUAACCAGAAAGCCACGGCUAACUACGUGCCAGCAGCCGCGGUAAUACGUAGGUGGCAAGCGUUGUCCGGAAUUAUUGGGCGUAAAGGGCUCGCAGGCGGUUUCUUAAGUCUGAUGUGAAAGCCCCCGGCUCAACCGGGGAGGGUCAUUGGAAACUGGGGAACUUGAGUGCAGAAGAGGAGAGUGGAAUUCCACGUGUAGCGGUGAAAUGCGUAGAGAUGUGGAGGAACACCAGUGGCGAAGGCGACUCUCUGGUCUGUAACUGACGCUGAGAG